This 379-nucleotide unclassified non-coding RNA is filed under the name uncultured Gammaproteobacteria bacterium. RNAcentral describes it as "contains 16S-23S intergenic spacer region". The record is from RNAcentral. Lineage: Bacteria; Pseudomonadati; Pseudomonadota; Gammaproteobacteria.
UCCGGUUUGUCACCGGCAGUCCCAUUAGAGUGCUCACCUGAAAUGUAGCAACUAAUGGCAAGGGUUGCGCUCGUUGCGGGACUUAACCCAACAUCUCACGACACGAGCUGACGACAGCCAUGCAGCACCUGUGUUGCGGCUCCCUUUCGGGCACAAGGGCAUCUCCGCCCCCUUCCGCACAUGUCAAGGGUAGGUAAGGUUUUUCGCGUUGCAUCGAAUUAAUCCACAUCAUCCACCGCUUGUGCGGGUCCCCGUCAAUUCCUUUGAGUUUUAACCUUGCGGCCGUACUCCCCAGGCGGUCGACUUCACGCGUUAGCUGCGUUACUAAGGAAGUCUCCUUCCCCAACAACUAGUCGACAUCGUUUAGGGCGUGGACUAC